UACGUAGGUGGCAAGCGUUGUCCGGAUUUACUGGGCGUAAAGAGCGCGCAGGCGGUCGAGUAAGUCGAAUGUGAAAGCCCCUGGCUCAACUGGGGAGGGUCAUUCGAUACUGCUCGACUCGAAGGCAGGAGAGGGAAGCGGAAUUCCCGGUGUAGUGGUGAAAUGCGUAGAUAUCGGGAGGAACACCAGUGGCGAAGGCGGCUUUCUGGCCUGUUCUUGACGCUGAGGCGCGAAAGCUAGGGGAGCAAAC
RNAcentral lists this ribosomal RNA (250 nucleotides) under uncultured bacterium. RNAcentral's name for it is "partial 16S ribosomal RNA". It matches the Rfam family "Bacterial small subunit ribosomal RNA", at positions 524 to 773 of the family's 1533-position model. The record is from RNAcentral.